Molecule: ribosomal RNA, 459 nt
Filed under: uncultured bacterium
Lineage: Bacteria
Description: partial 16S ribosomal RNA
Rfam family: Bacterial small subunit ribosomal RNA
Source: RNAcentral
CCUACGGGAGGCAGCAGUGAGGAAUAUUGGUCAAUGGGCGGGAGCCUGAACCAGCCAAGCCGCGUGAGGGAAGAAGGUACAGCGUAUCGUAAACCUCUUUUGUCAGGGAACAAAGGCGGGGACUAGUCCCCUGAUGAGGGUACCUGAAGAAAAAGCAUCGGCUACCUCCGUGCCAGCAGCGGCGGUAAUACGGGGGAUGCGAGCGUUAUCCGGAUUUAUUGGGUUUAAGGGGUGCGCAGGCGGCCUGUUAAGUCAGCGGUAAAAGCCCGGGGCUAAACCCCGGCGAGCCGUUGAAACUGGCGGGCUGGAGUUGGAGAGAAGUACGCGGAAUGCGCGGUGUAGCGGUGAAAUGCUUAGAUAUCGCGCAGAACCCCGAUUGCGAAGGCAGCGUACCGGCUCCACACUGACGCUGAGGCACGAAAGCGUGGGUAUCGAACAGGAUUAGAUACCCGAGUAGUC